UUUGAUCCCAAUCUCACUGCUCCCGAUCUGCUAAAAAAACUCACUGCUCCCGGUCGGAGUUGACGCCGCCGCCGCCUCCUCCCGUCUCGUGUCGUGGGCCCCUCCAAAGGCCUAGCAGCAUCGCCAUGGAAGGUCGCCGGCUCCGGCCACCGCAGCCGCGGACGCGGCGAGGUGGAGGGACGUGACCUGAGUGGCGCCGCUGCCGCAGCCCCCGUCGACAAGUUGGCGCUCCUCCCCGCCUUCCUCGAGGUACACGUGUGUCAUUUGUCCCGGAAUGGCAGAACCAAGCUCAGUUUCCUCCUACUCCGUUCCAGCGACCCCCUGGGCCGCCGAUCGGACCGAGGGGUGCAGACUUCAGGCAGAAUGUUAGAUAGAUCACAGGGGGCACAUCAGGAUUCGAGUGUGGGAGGGAGGAGCAAUAGUUCUGGUCACAAGUCUGCACAUACUCCAGUUAAGUUGGAGGUUCAGUCAAAACAAACCAGUGGUACAGUUGCUUCUUCAGUGGGAGGAAUUGGGCGUACACAGGAUGUUGCUGCAGAGGGGAAUGGAGCAAAGUCUGGCACAGGAUGUACUAGAUGCUUAAAAGCUGGUCAUAUGAUUAAGGAUUGCACUGAGUAUUUGUUCUGCAUUUAUUAGGGUCUCUAAAAUCACGGAUGAUCUUGGAGCUAUUUUCAAAUUAAGUACUGUAUGGGUACAAGUCUUUGGUGUACCUGAGUCUUUUCAUCACAGGGAUUGGUUUGCUGAGGUUGCUACUCUCAUAGGAACUUUCAUAGAUGCUGACAUGAAAGGUUUCUGGGAGAAUGCUAUUAUCAGAAUCAAAUGUGGAGUUAAAGAUCCCAGCAAAAUACCCGGUAUUGCAGAAUUUACUGAUAAAAAUACUUUGCUAGUGUACCAUGUGGGCUUUGAACUAGAGAAGAUUGAGGAAGAAGGGGGACAUUUGAUUGAUGGAAAACUACUUCUUAUCUCUGAUUUUAACAAAGAAUUGCAAAGAAAUGAAGAGGGCAAAAACUGCUCAACAAGAAGGAUUGUUGUCACCUAGUGCGGGGUUUGAGAAAAAGAGGGCAAGUAAGCAAAAAGUAAAACUUACAGAUGAAGCUGGAUGUGUGAUAUCCAGUCAGGCUAGUUUAGACAGAAAAAUGGAAGAGCUUAGGGAAAAUAUGUUCAUUAAGAAAAAGCUAGAAGAGGAAAGAAAAGAAAAUACUGGAGAGUUGGAUAAGCUAGAUUUUGAGCAGAAAUAUGACGAUUUGGAACUCAAGAGAUGUUAUACAAAGACAGAGGAGGCUUGUUCAGAAAAUCCUGAGAAGGAAAAGGCUACUGGUCCUACAACUGAAGUGGAAGUUGUGCAUUGGAAAGAUGAACUGAUUGAACCAAAGAAAAACAGGAAAGGGGACAAAAAUAAGGGUAACACUGUAGAGGAGAGGAGGCCAAGCGACAGGACAGAUACUGAUCAUAACAUGAUGGACAAGACCAUGGAGAGAGCGAGACUCAAGAACUUGGGAGGAUUGCAAGGUACACUGGAAUACGUGUCGGCGUGCCCUCGAUACGUUCAGAGUUUAGCGCUGAGACUCUCACACUGCAAGUUUGCCGCUUAUCGAUCGCAUGCAUAUGACGUUCACCCUUGGCCUUCAGUUCCCAUGAACUGCUAACGAAACAACGCCUGACGUCGUGAGUGUGGUCACGUUCUGCACCCAAGCAACCGCCCUCCUCCAUUCUCCUCCAGCAGCAGCAAAAGGUCUGGCCCAUCGACGAUGACGGCUCCUCCUUGUGCUCAUCGGCCUCGUGCCCAAGUGCUCUGCAAGUCUGCAUCGGGUAAAGUCUGAAGUUUUUGAUCUUUACUACUGUCAAAAUUCACUAAACUUGUGGGUACAGUAAGUUAGUGUUCUAAGUUUGUCUCUGAAAUUCACUAAGUCAGUCGGUGUCAAAUUUGUCUCUGAAAAGCAGUAACUACUGAAAUCAAAAUUCACUAAGCUUGUGGGUACAGUAAGUUAGUGUUCUAAGUAUGCACUGAAUAGUCCUGCUGCACUAGUGGUUAACUGAACUGCUAAGUAUGCACUGUGAAGUUCAGCAAAAUGACUACUCUUUUCUGUCGUUGUGAAUGAAUUUGCUUGAUUGCAUUCUUGUUUGACUGUAUUUGACUGUAACUCUAGCAAUUCUCAAGGACAAGUUAGUGUCAUGAUCAUGAUCAUGUCCAGUCAUGGCUAUUUGGUUUAUGCAAAGGAUUGCAUCUAGGUUUAAUAAUCUUCUUGUGCAUUCAUCCCCUGCUUUUGGACUGGUUUUUUACUUUUACUGCUGUGUAAGUGCACAUUUCUCUCAGAGAUGGAAAUGAACAGGAGAGAGACAAGCAAAUUGGAGAAGGGGAAGAGCAAGAACAAGAGUAUAUCUACACCUGAAAUAAAUUGGAAUUAAUGGUCCUAAAUUGCAAAGUACAAGAAUUUCGUGACGGAGGGAGUAUGAAGUUGCACUGAAGGAGAAAGACUUUGUUGAGGGUGCUUGGUCACGGAACAACUUAGACAAUGGAGCUGGUUUUUUAAUACCUGUACCAGCUCCACUCGGUGGUGUCAUAAUUAUUGUAAACAGGGAGACAUGGGGCAGGCGUUCUUGAUAUCAGAGUAUGACCUGGGAGGAGAAGGGAACCUGUUCAAGGCUCCAGAACCCAUAACUGAAGAAUCGCUGCUCACCCUCGAUGAUGUCCGGCAGUGGCAACACAAUGGAUGACACCAUCAAGGGCUCCGACAUGGGCCUGAGCGAGAUGCUGUAUGAGUGCGAGAAGGAGCUCAUGGAGAAGUCGGCGAUCGAGGAGACGAUAUCCGAGCUGCUGGACGUCAAGAUCCCCAUGCUGCAGGUCGAGGACGUCCUGGAGAGGUCAGGGCAAGGAUCAUCGACCAAGGGGUCGCAGCCAUGGAUGAUAAUGCUGUCAAAGGUAACCAGGUGCUGCUGCUGCUAAGUGCCAUCGAUGCCAUUGUUGUUGACAAUCAAGACAAGGGAGUGGAGCAGUGUGUCACUCGUGACUUACUUGGGAACCAUGGAGAAUGGUGCAUGAUGACCUUCUGGAUGAUCAGCAGGUGGUGGAGCAAGGUGUCAUUGACCAUGGAUGAUAAUGCUGUCAAUGGUCAACAGGUGGUGCUGCUGCCUAAGUGUCGUUGAAAUAUUGCACACCACGGCAGAUGACAUUGUUGUCGAGGAUCAGGAAAAGGAAGUGGAGCAAUGCGCCACUUAUUACUUGGGAACCAUCAAGAAUGGUGAUGCUGUGGGUGGGUGAUCAGCAGAUGCUGGAGCAAGGUGUUGUCGAUUUAACCAUGGAUGAUGGAUGAUUCUGUCGUGGAACACAAAGUGGCGGAGGAAGGUGUUGUCGAUUUAACCAUGGGUGAUUAGGAACGUGGCUAUGUAAUGGAGCAAGUUCUCAAAUGGGGUACAUCCAGUGAUGCUGCUGCUACUGCUUUGGAAGAUCAGAAGAAUGAGGCUGAGCAAUGCAUCAGCGAUGAACAGAUAGCAGGUAAGGACAUGGAUGGUGUUCAUGUUGAGAGGAAUAUGCUGGAGCAAAGGACCCGUGACAAACAGGGAGCAACAGAGUCUGAUUUCACUGCUGAAAAGCACAAGGAUGUAGGUCUGCCAUGAAUUGGGUGCACCUGAGGGCUCAUGUCAGAUGUUAUUAUCAAGGAGAUCCCACAUAAUAGUUGCUCAUGUUGGCUCCAGCUUUAUCAUUUCCUUUGAAUCUUGUCACACAAGGCCAGCCAGGUCACAGGUCACAGGGGCUGUAGUCAGGCGUGAGGGAAGAGCUGGUUUAGGUGGAGGUAAUGAUGUGAAUUUCUGUGGUGCAACAACUACUAGACUGCGAUCAGCAAGGGACUCUUCAGCAUAGCAGUAGUAAUGGCCUUGAGAAUGACCGUCCAACCUAUAUUUUGCGACAUGUUUGAUACUGCUUCUUUUAAUAUUCGAGCUCAGAUGAACCCAACAUAUUAUGAUUCAUUUGAUAUGCACAUGCACGGGAUUUGCAAGGAGCAUGAAACAACACAUUGAAGAAAAUUUCCUUUGAAGCAUAGUAGAUUAAUAUAAAUAUGUGUUUUUUUUCACUGUUUGAUCCAUUGAUCAAGGGAUGAAUGGGAACUUGAUAGCAGAAGUAAUGGCCUUGAAAUGACCGUCCAACCAUCGCAAAAAGAAGAAGAGAAUGACUAUCCAACCUAUAUUUUGUGACAUGUUUGAUACUGCUUCUUUUAACUUUCGAGCUCAGAUGAACCCAACAUAUUAUGAUUCAUUUGAGUGGCUAUGCAGGGAGGAGCAUGAAUCUCCAGAAGUAUGGUCCCAUAUUUGUGUUCAGAAGCUUGCAGAACUGGCCAAACAGAGUACAACUAUGCGAUGCAUCCUUAUUCCAAUGUUUUCUUACUUUGAUAUGAUGAAGGAACAAUGGGCUCCUCAGCAUGGACUAGCUUUGCUUGUCUUGUCUGAUAUGUCUUAUCUACAGAAGAGUUCAGGCAACGAACAAUUGAUUUUGACUGCUGUCAUCCGUCAUCUGGACUACAAGAAUAUUUUGCACUGUCCUCAGACUAAAUCUGAUAUUAUUCAGACAGCGACAUCUUUGGCACGACAGCUGCGAUCAUGAGGAGUUGCUCCUGAACUUGCAGUAGCAGGUGACUUGUGAAUUCACUUGAGGAAGACACUAGAGGCUGUGGAGUCAGCCAGUGUUGAAGAGCUGAGCUUGAAUGAGUCUUCAAAAUUUCCUGGAUGGCUGUCUUGUUGAAGUCGUAAGAGGAGUUAAAGAUGUGCGGCCACUCUAUGACAUGAUGGCAAUUACAUUGGAGAAUUUGCCUUCUAUGCCUGCUGUUGUCAGAACAACUAUUGGAAGUUUCUCUCUCAAAAAAAAAACUAUUGGAAGUUUGCUGAUACUUUGCCACAUAAUCUCUUUAACAUCAGUAUCUACAGACGCUCCUAUGGUGUUUCCAGAAGCACUCCUCCAUCAGAUAUUGAUAUCCAUGGUACAUCCAGACGCAGACACUCGUGCGGGGGCGCACCACAUAUUUUCUGCUGUAAUUUUCCGAGGCCCAAGCCAUCAGAGGGAAGAGCAAAGGCACAGCGCCUUAGCCUACCAUAUCUGCCACUCAUUCUACAUCCGACGCACAGGAUUGAUGAGUGCAAAACACACCCAGACUUGGUAGUUUUCAGACUUUCAAUGUCAUGACCUUCUCUGAUUGUUUCAGAUUUUGAAAGUCAAGUGCUUCCAAUAGGACUAGUUUUGCAUGUUAAGUGAUACAGAUCGUACAAGUUUCUUUGAUAUGUGUGUUUCAUCAGGAAAGUCUUGGAUUUGUUGAACCUGCUGUGCUUGUUGCGCUCCAGUUUCUUGACGAUUUGCAGCAUGAUUGAGGUGCCUUGGGAGUUCCAUCCAGAUUUAGCUCUUUUCCUUGAUGGCCCUGCAAGGUGGCUGAUCCAUGAGGAGCUGGUUGUGGCCUGUCCGCUGUACUAGGGGAGGGGCUGAGGAGUUUCUGACCGUGGAGCCGUGGUGACAGUACUUGCUUGGCCAGAGUCACUGUUCUGCACAUCUUCAGUUUCAGUUUCUGAUGUUCAGCUGCAAAGGUUCGAGAUCCAGCUCACCGGUUGCCUCCGAAUCUGUGAUGUUUGUCAUGACUUCAACAGAAGACUGAUGAACUACAGAGUAUAGUUCUGCUUGCUGUUGAAUUCCAAGCCGAGGGAGAAAUAGGGGGGAUUCUACCACCGUUGCCAGCAACCAGCCUAUCGUUCCCUAAGCUCACCUGCCGCCGGAUGGUGCACGAGAAGGGUAGGGUGAGUGGGAUUUUAUACUGAAGAAAGGCUCUUUAGAAACCACUCCCUGGCCGAUUCUUGCACCCGAACAUUUACCGCUACCGAAACGCCACCGGAAGAAUGCCGCCGCCGGACCUUGCACAUGUCAAAUCGCCGCCGUUUGGCGAGGAUUGCAGGCUCUUGAUACCAAUUGAUAGGUCCUAGCUACGGAUCUGUCGAAUUAGAACGCAGAACAGAGAAAAGUAGUCCACUUUGGGAGGUUGAAUCGCUCAAGAUUCAAGCUACAGUGGCUAGGGUUCGUCGCCAGCCGGAACACGGCGGCUUGGGGAACACCCCUACCUAUUACAAGAUAUGGAUCACAUCGAUCCCAAAUGGGGCUUUAAUAGCCUGGAGAAGUUGCUAGAAGGUUGUCGGAAAAGCUAACAGUGACACUCGGGCACUCGCUAGCCAUCGGAUGGCUGAUCAGCGGCUUGGAGUGGCGAUCCGUGACGAAGCGGCAUGAAGCGUCAACAGCCGGUGGAUGCCGAUCGAGGGGUUGGCAUUGAAUCCGACAAGGGCGAUAGAAGCGCUACAGUAGAAGUGUUGUGUUCUUCAGUUAUCUUCAGGCUGAGGUCCUGACACGCUGCACCUCACCGCAACGCUAGGAGAUGGCGGCGCAGACCUGCUGCUGCCACUCGUGAGCCCGUGCUGUUGUCGCUCGCGAGCCCGUGUGCGUCCCUGCUGUUGAAAUAUGGGUCACUGAUUGUAGUGUAAAACGAACGUCCUCAAGGGAUUGUAACUGAACUUCUACCUUUUCAAUGCAAAGAAAUGCAAAGGUGUAUUUCCUGAA
Aegilops tauschii subsp. strangulata is the source of this 6580-nucleotide non-coding RNA. NCBI's taxonomy places the organism in Eukaryota, Viridiplantae, Streptophyta, Magnoliopsida, Poales, Poaceae. The record is from RefSeq and is a predicted model, not a curated record.